GGUUAAGUGACUAAGCGUACAUGGUGGAUGCCUUGGCAGUCAGAGGCGAUGAAGGACGUACUAACCUGCGAUAAGCCGUGAGCAGUCGGUAAGAGACAUUACGACUCACGGAUUUCCGAAUGGGGAAACCCACUUAGCAUAAGCUAGGUAUCGCUGCGUGAAUACAUAGCGUAGCGAGGCGAACCGGGAGAACUGAAACAUCUAAGUACCCCGAGGAAAAGAAAUCAACCGAGAUUCCCUCAGUAGCGGCGAGCGAACGGGGAUUAGCCCUUAAGCAUCUUGGAAGUUAGUGGAACGGUCCUGGAAAGGCCGGCGAUACAGGGUGAUAGCCCCGUACACGAAAACAACCUUGAUGUGAAAUCGAGUAGGGCGGGACACGUGACAUCCUGUCUGAAUAUGGGGGGACCAUCCUCCAAGGCUAAAUACUCCUGACUGACCGAUAGUGAACCAGUACCGUGAGGGAAAGGCGAAAAGAACCCCUGUGAGGGGAGUGAAAUAGAACCUGAAACCGUGUACGUACAAGCAGUGGGAGCCCUUCGGGGUGACUGCGUACCUUUUGUAUAAUGGGUCAGCGACUUACAUUUUGUAGCGAGGUUAACCGUAUAGGGGAGCCGUAGGGAAACCGAGUCUUAACUGGGCGUCUAGUUGCAAGGUGUAGACCCGAAACCGGGUGAUCUAGCCAUGGGCAGGUUGAAGGUUGAGUAACAUCAACUGGAGGACCGAACCCACUAACGUUGCAAAGUUAGGGGAUGACCUGUGGCUGGGGGUGAAAGGCCAAUCAAACUCGGAGAUAGCUGGUUCUCCCCGAAAGCUAUUUAGGUAGCGCCUCGGACGAAUACUACUGGGGGUAGAGCACUGUUUGGGCUAGGGGGUCAUCCCGACUUACCAACCCCAUGCAAACUCCGAAUACCAGUAAGUAAUAUCCGGGAGACACACGGCGGGUGCUAACGUCCGUCGUGAAGAGGGAAACAACCCAGACCGCCGGCUAAGGUCCCAAAGUUCUGGUUAAGUGGGAAACGAUGUGGGAAGGCUCAGACAGCUAGGAUGUUGGCUUAGAAGCAGCCAUCAUUUAAAGAAAGCGUAAUAGCUCACUAGUCGAGUCGGCCUGCGCGGAAGAUGUAACGGGGCUCAAACCAGGCACCGAAGCCGCGGAUUCACGCUAAGCGUGAGUGGUAGGGGAGCGUUCUGUAAGUCUGCGAAGGUGUGUCGAGAGGCAUGCUGGAGAUAUCAGAAGUGCGAAUGCUGACGUAAGUAACGAUAAAGGGGGUGAAAAGCCUCCUCGCCGGAAGACCAAGGGUUCCUGUCCAACGUUAAUCGGGGCAGGGUGAGUCGACCCCUAAGGCGAGGCCGAAAGGCGUAGUCGAUGGGAAGCAGGUUAAUAUUCCUGCACGACUUGUAAUUGCGAUGGGGGGACGGAGAAGGCUAGGUGGGCCAGGCGACGGUUGUCCUGGUGAAAGUGCGUAGGUGGUGUUUCUAGGCAAAUCCGGAGACACAACACUGAGACACGAGACGAACACACUACGGUGUGGAAGCCAUUGAUGCCCUGCUUCCAGGAAAAGCCUCUAAGCUUCAGAUUACAAGUCAUCGUACCCCAAACCGACACAGGUGGUCGGGUAGAGAAUACCAAGGCGCUUGAGAGAACUCGGGUGAAGGAACUAGGCAAAAUAGAACCGUAACUUCGGGAGAAGGUUCGCUCUUGACAGUGAAGUCCCUUGCGGAUGGAGCAGUUGGGAGUCGCAGUGACCAGAUGGCUGGGACUGUUUAUCAAAAACACAGCACUCUGCAAACACGAAAGUGGACGUAUAGGGUGUGACACCUGCCCGGUGCCGGAAGGUUAAUUGAUGGGGUUAGCGCAAGCGAAGCUCUUGAUCGAAGCCCCGGUAAACGGCGGCCGUAACUAUAACGGUCCUAAGGUAGCGAAAUUCCUUGUCGGGUAAGUUCCGACCUGCACGAAUGGUGUAACCAUGGCCAUGCUGUCUCCACCCGAGACUCAGUGAAAUCGAAUUCGCCGUGAAGAUGCGGUGUACCCGCGGCUAGACGGAAAGACCCCGUGAACCUUUACUACAGCUUGGCACUGAACAUUGAACCUACAUGUGUAGGAUAGGUGGGAGGCUUUGAAGGCGUGACGCCAGUUGCGCUGGAGCCGUCCUUGAAAUACCACCCUUGUAUGUUUGAUGUUCUAACGCAGGCCCAUGAAUCUGGGUCGCGGACAGUGCCUGGUGGGUAGUUUGACUGGGGCGGUCUCCUCCCAAAGAGUAACGGAGGAGCACGAAGGUUGGCUAAUCCUGGUCGGACAUCAGGAGGUUAGUGCAAUGGCAUAAGCCAGCUUAACUGCGAGACGGACAGGUCGAGCAGGUACGAAAGUAGGUCAUAGUGAUCCGGUGGUUCUGAAUGGAAGGGCCAUCGCUCAACGGAUAAAAGGUACUCCGGGGAUAACAGGCUGAUACCGCCCAAGAGUUCAUAUCGACGGCGGUGUUUGGCACCUCGAUGUCGGCUCAUCACAUCCUGGGGCUGAAGUCGGUCCCAAGGGUAUGGCUGUUCGCCAUUUAAAGUGGUACGCGAGCUGGGUUCAGAACGUCGUGAGACAGUUCGGUCCCUAUCUGCCGUGGGCGUUGGAUGAUUGAAGGGAGUUGCUCCUAGUACGAGAGGACCGGAGUGAACGAACCUCUGGUGUUCGGGUUGUCACGCCAGUGGCACUGCCCGGUAGCUAAGUUCGGAAUCGAUAACCGCUGAAAGCAUCUAAGCGGGAAGCGAGCCCUGAGAUGAGUCAUCCCUGACCCCUUGAGGGUCCUAAAGGGCCGUUGGAGACCACAACGUUGAUAGGUGGGGUGUGUAAGCGCGGCGACGUGUUGAGCUAACCCAUACUAAUUACCCGUGAGGCUUAACCAU
This 2889-nucleotide ribosomal RNA is filed under the name Aeromonas hydrophila. Its description in RNAcentral is "23S ribosomal RNA". It matches the Rfam family "Bacterial large subunit ribosomal RNA". RNAcentral also lists the same sequence under 2 other names. Lineage: Bacteria; Pseudomonadati; Pseudomonadota; Gammaproteobacteria; Aeromonadales; Aeromonadaceae. The record is from RNAcentral.